CAAGCCCAUCUAAACCCUUAUCUGAACCAAAAUCGCUCUCUUUCUCUCUCCAAUGGCGUCCAGUACGUCUCCGACCUCUGCAUUGUCACCGCUGGGGCCACGACGAGUCCAGGCUCAACUUGCCACAGAGGAAUGUCUCUCUCUUUCGCAAGAUCAUACCUCCGCUCGCAAGUACUCGCCGGAGACCAUUUUGCUGAUUGUGUCGAAUCUGGUACUUUGCUGAGGUGAUAAUCCAGCCGAUCAUCCAUCGGUUCGAUUCGCAACCAUGUUCGAAGCACAUUUUUUGUCAAGUGGUUUUGUUGUGAUGCUUUUUCAUUAUGAUGGUAAUGUUGAUGAGUGGAUGCAAUUUCAAUGGAAUGAUCUUGUCAUUUAUGUGUCUGCAGUCAAUCAAACAAAAUGGUGGUUUGCAAAGCAUUUCUUACAUCCUGAUGUAGUUGAUCAAUAUAGUCGCAUUCUUCUACGGGAUGAGGACCUUGGAGUUGACAAUUUCAAUCCUCAACGGUUCUGUAGCUACAUUUCCUUUUAGCAAAGUAUGUGUCCAUUGUUCGAAAGGAAGGGCUUGAAAUAUCACAACCGGCACUUGAUUUUUUCAAGACAGAGGUGAACUACAUGGAGAAACUUUCGAAAGAGGAGGGGAUUCAGAAGAAACUCAGCAAGGAUAUUUUGCAAUAUAAAGCUCAUAUAAUCAAGAUAUUUGCGGAACAUAGGCACAAUUAGAUCUCUACAGAUUUAGAGUUUUAGAAAUUUGCCUAGGGCUUAGGAUGCAAGUCAUUGGUGAAUUGUAAACUCCAGUUUAUUAAAUAAAUUAGCUUUUUGUAUCUUUUUAUGAUGUCACUGUUAUAUUUAGUUUUCCUUAAUAAAACAUUACUUUUAUAGA
RNA transcript from Rosa chinensis, 877 nucleotides. RefSeq lists it as uncharacterized. The record is from RefSeq and is a predicted model, not a curated record. NCBI's taxonomy places the organism in Eukaryota, Viridiplantae, Streptophyta, Magnoliopsida, Rosales, Rosaceae. The transcript is spliced from 4 exons.